This 481-nucleotide ribosomal RNA is filed under the name uncultured bacterium. RNAcentral describes it as "partial 16S ribosomal RNA". It matches the Rfam family "Bacterial small subunit ribosomal RNA", at positions 28 to 507 of the family's 1533-position model. The record is from RNAcentral.
GAUGAACGCUGGCGGCGUGCUUAACACAUGCAAGUCGAACGAAGCACUUUAUUUGAUUUCCUUCGGGACUGAUUAUUUUGUGACUGAGUGGCGGACGGGUGAGUAACGCGUGGGUAACCUGCCUUGUACAGGGGGAUAACAGUUGGAAACGGCUGCUAAUACCGCAUAAGCGCACAGCAUCGCAUGAUGCAGUGUGAAAAACUCCGGUGGUAUAAGAUGGACCCGCGUUGGAUUAGCUAGUUGGUGAGGUAACGGCCCACCAAGGCGACGAUCCAUAGCCGACCUGAGAGGGUGACCGGCCACAUUGGGACUGAGACACGGCCCAAACUCCUACGGGAGGCAGCAGUGGGGAAUAUUGCACAAUGGGCGAAAGCCUGAUGCAGCGACGCCGCGUGAGCGAAGAUGUAUUUCGGUAUGUAAAGCUCUAUCAGCAGGGAAGAUAAUGACGGUACCUGACUAAGAAGCACCGGCUAAAUACGUG